GGACUGUAGGCUGCAACUCGCCUACACGAAGCUGGAAUCGCUAGUAAUCGCGGAUCAGCACGCCGCGGUGAAUACGUUCCCGGGCCUUGUACACACCGCCCGUCACACCAUGAGAGUCUGUAACACCCAAAGCCGAUGGGAUAACCUUUAUAGGAGUCAGCCGUCUAAGGUAGGACAGAUGAUUAGGGUGAAGUCGUAACAAGGUAAC
This 208-nucleotide ribosomal RNA is filed under the name uncultured bacterium. RNAcentral's name for it is "partial 16S ribosomal RNA". It matches the Rfam family "Bacterial small subunit ribosomal RNA", at positions 1295 to 1500 of the family's 1533-position model. The record is from RNAcentral.